This 73-nucleotide transfer RNA is filed under the name Escherichia coli. RNAcentral describes it as "tRNA-Lys". It matches the Rfam family "tRNA". From Rfam's summary of the family: Transfer RNA (tRNA) molecules are approximately 80 nucleotides in length. Their secondary structure includes four short double-helical elements and three loops (D, anti-codon, and T loops). Further hydrogen bonds mediate the characteristic L-shaped molecular structure. tRNAs have two regions of fundamental functional importance: the anti-codon, which is responsible for specific mRNA codon recognition, and the 3' end, to which the tRNAs corresponding amino acid is attached (by aminoacyl-tRNA synthetases). tRNAs cope with the degeneracy of the genetic code in two manners: having more than one tRNA (with a specific anti-codon) for a particular amino acid; and 'wobble' base-pairing, i.e. permitting non-standard base-pairing at the 3rd anti-codon position. The record is from RNAcentral. Lineage: Bacteria; Pseudomonadati; Pseudomonadota; Gammaproteobacteria; Enterobacterales; Enterobacteriaceae.
GGGUCGUUAGCUCAGUUGGUAGAGCAGUUGACUUUUAAUCAAUUGGUCGCAGGUUCGAAUCCUGCACGACCUU